This 139-nucleotide unclassified non-coding RNA is filed under the name uncultured Arachnopeziza. RNAcentral's name for it is "sequence contains ITS2". Lineage: Eukaryota; Fungi; Ascomycota; Leotiomycetes; Helotiales; Hyaloscyphaceae. The record is from RNAcentral.
UGACCAAUCACGCAAGUGGUAUUGGGGUUUGCCGUUGGCAUCCCUUAAAACUAGUGGCAGUGCUAUAGGCUCUCAGCGCAGUAAUUAUUUCGCUUUUGAGCCCUAGAACCACCCGCCAAAACCCCAACUUUUUUCAAGG